Molecule: long non-coding RNA, 3385 nt
Organism: Cyprinus carpio carpio
Lineage: Eukaryota; Metazoa; Chordata; Actinopteri; Cypriniformes; Cyprinidae
Source: Ensembl
CUAACAUGCUGAGGUCUGCUGAUCAGAAACUCCAUAAUCCAGUUGCAGAGGGAGGUGUUAAUGUCCAGGUCUCCAAGUUUUGUGGUCAGCUUGGUGGGAAAGACAGUGUUAAAUGCUGAGCUGAAGUCAACAAACAACAUCCGUACAUAUGUGUUGUUAUUGUCCAAGUGUGUGAGUACAGAGUGCAGCACUGUGCAUACUGCAUCCUCUGUGCUCCUAUUUCUACAGUAAGCAAAGUGGUGUGGGUCCAGUGUGGGUGGGAGGCAGUCUUUGAGGUGUGCUUCGGGUAGGUGGUCUGCUGAGAGUGUGAUCUUGGUGGCUGUCACCUUGCUGUCGAUGUUGAAGCGAGCAUAAAAGUAAUUUAGCUCGUUAAGGAAGGAGACGUCUGUGACCGUUGGAGUAAAGUUGCUUGACUUGUAGUCACUGAUGACCUGGAUGUCCUGCCAUAUGCGCCGGGGGCCAGAGUUGGAAAAGUGUUCCUCUACCUUCAGCUUCUAGCAGUACUUGGCCUUUUUGAUGCCCCUCCUCAGGUUAGCCCUGGAUUUGCUGUAGGCCUGAGUGUCAUCUGACCUGAAGGCAGUAUUGCGGGCUUUCGGCAGAAGUCGCACCUCCUUGUUCAUCCAUGGCUUCUGAUUAGAGUAUGUUAUGAUCUGUUUUUCUGUUGUAACACUGUCAAUGGUGGUGUUGAUGUAAUCCAGUACAGAGGAGGUAUAGAUAUCAAUGUCCGUGUGAGAGCCACAGGCAGCCUGAGAAGCAAACAUGCUCCAGUCCGUGCAUUGAAACCUGUCCUGAAGAGUCUGCUCCAGUUGGCCACACCCUGAUGGUCCUCACUGAUGGCUUCAAAUGGUUGAUGAGGGGUGAAUACUUAGGGGUGAGAAACAAAGAAAGGUGAUCAGACUGUCCGAGGUGGGGGAGGGGGGUCGCGGUGUAAGCUCCAUCAAUGUUUGUUUAAACAUGAUCCAAAGUUUUGUCUCCUCUAGUGUGGCAGGAAGCAUGUUGAUGGAAUUUGGGGAGCACUGUCUUUAAUUUGGAGUGAUUAAAAUCACCUGCGACAAUAAAAGCAGCCUCCGGGUGAGCAGUCUGUUGUUUACUAAUGGCCGCAUGAAGUUCGUUCAAAACAAGCUUGGCAUUAACAUCCGGUGGAAUAUAGACUGCUGUUAUAAUGGUGGAAGUGAACUCCCGCAGCAGAUAAAAGGGUCUACACUUAACCAUGAGAAACUCUAGGUUAGCGGAGCAGUGUCUCCCAACAAUGACAGUGUUCGUACACCAAGCUUUGUUAACAUAAAUGCACAAUCCACCACCUCUUGUCUUGCUGGGGUCAUCUGCCGUUCUAUCUGCCCGGACCAUGUAGCGUCCAGCUAGCUCAAUAGCAUUAUUGGGUAUGUCGCCGUGUAGCCAUGUUUCUGUGAAAACCAUGACAUUGCAUUCCAAAAGUCUCUUACUGUGGGUGAUGCGAAGUCGUUUCUCAUCCAUUUUGUUCACCAGAGACCACACAUUAGCGAGGAAAAUGCUGGGUAAAGAAAGCAGGAGUGGUGUUAGCUUUAGCUUAGCUCUUAGACCUCUGCACUCCCCCCACCUUUGUUUACGAUCUUGACGCCACCUGCAAGCACUUCCGCCCGGCUGGGUAGAGUGCUUAACCUCGGGUGUUCUGGAGAUCUCAGGGAUGAGUCGAAGAUUGGUGAUUAAACUGUUGGAAAAGUGCUCACCAAUAUCCAAAAGCUCCUGUUGGGUGUAGGCAAAGCUGUUCAGUAUGAACAGACCUGAGAUGAGCAGGAAAAAUACUGCAAAAUUGCAAAAACUGGAGAGACGCCGAGCCUUGUGAUGUGUACGCGCCGCCAUUUUGGUCUACAAGAGGUAAGGGAGAAGAAGAGGUAAGGUAGAAGAAUAGGUUAGAGGGAAGAAGAGGUAAGGGAGAAGAAGAGGUUAGGGAGAAGAAGAUGUAAGGGAGAAGAAGAGGUUAGGGAGAAGAAGGGGUUAGGGAGAAGAAGAUGUAAGGGAGGGAUAAGAAUGUGUGCUGGACGGUGCAUUUUUAUGUUUGUUUGUUUUUUCCUCUUACACAUGUGGAACCUGUGAAAGCUUAUUUCUGCCAUGGAAUAUAAAGGCUAAAGGGUAAUUGUGACUUUUUUUCAUCUCACAGUUCUGACUACUAUUUUUUUUGCCAUUGUAAAUUUAUCUCACAAUUCUGAUAAAAGUCUGAAUUGCAAGAUGUAAACUCGCAAUUCCAAGAAUAGAAGUCCAAAUUGUGAGAUAAAAAGUUCACAAUUACGUUUUUUUAUCCUGUGACGGAAACAAGCUUGCAUAGUAACCAAGGGCCAUGUAUGUUGUAAUUUUUGUUGAUCUCUGGCAUCAGCUACCAUCCACAUCCAACCACCCCCACACCCACCCACCCACUGGAGAACAACUUCAAUCAAGGUUCCAACUGAAUUUCUGCAUAGAGGACCCUAUUUUUUCUAUUGUACAUUCUAUAAAGUAAUGACUUAUUCAGUUUUAGACAGUAUGUUGCCAAGAAUGAACACAUUUAACACAACCCAUUUUGCUGAACUAUAAACACUAUUCCCCUGCUUUAACACAUGAGUCAGAUUUGGUGAACUCUUACUGCAAAACUCUACACACAAAUCCCCACAUUUCUCAGUGCUUACACCAUGUGGUCAUUUAGAAAGCACUAGCAUUCAAUAUUGUUCACUCAAGUCAGCAUAACUUGAGCUCAGUUAGCACACAGAUACCCACGUGGAAACACUAAGAGUCAAAAUGUAUCACACACCAGUCAGAACCUUCAAUAGAUAGAUAAAAGAGCCCCAUUCACUUCAUUCAGUUUUGGAACAAUGGAUCCAGAGAGACGUGAUUGAAAAGGUCGAGGACACCAGAGAGGAGGAAGAGGAUGAGCAAGAGCAGUAAGGAGUGGAGGAAGAGGUGAAGGAAGAGAAAGAGGAGGAGGACAAGGAUGAGGAUGAGGGGCAAGGAGACAAGGAGUCUUAGAUGAAAUUUGUGCCACUAGUUGACCAUGUCCUUGUCCAUGGUAUGACUAUGAGCGAGCCUGGGCAAUGAGUUCAGCCAAACUUAAGUUGCUUCACCGUCGCCUCGAUCAUAAGAACAUUCAGGGAGGUGUACCUCAGUGUACUCUACUGUAACUUUUGACAGCUGUACUCUGUUACAACACAUGCAUCAAAUUGCCUUACAUACAGAUAGAGUUUCUGUCUGCUUCCAUUUUGUAAAAAGUACUUUUGCAAAAUGAGUACUUCUAUUUUUGUAGGACACAGAGACGAUGGAAUGGAAGAAGCCUGAAUAGACAUUACAGUUGAUGUGUGACAGGGUGGAUCAGUCAUGCGAGAGGAUUUUACCCCCGCUGCCUGGCUCGGGCCAGUAUAGCCUGUGAUGUCUGUCCCAG